This 443-nucleotide ribosomal RNA is filed under the name uncultured bacterium. RNAcentral describes it as "partial 16S ribosomal RNA". It matches the Rfam family "Bacterial small subunit ribosomal RNA", at positions 338 to 795 of the family's 1533-position model. The record is from RNAcentral.
CCUACGGGAGGCAGCAGUGGGGAAUAUUGGGCAAUGGGCGCAAGCCUGACCCAGCAACGCCGCGUGAAGGAAGAAGGCUUUCGGGUUGUAAACUUCUUUUCUCAGGGACGAAGCAAGUGACGGUACCUGAGGAAUAAGCCAGGGCUAACUACGUGCCAGCAGCCGCGGUAAUACGUAGGUGGCAAGGGUUAUCCGGAUUUCCUGGGGGUAAAGGGCGUGGAGGCGGGACUGCAAGUCAGAUGUGAAAACCACGGGCUCAACCUGUGAACUGCAUUUGAAACUGUAGUUCUUGAGUGCUGGAGAGGCAGACGGAAUUCCUAGUGUAGCGGUGAAAUGCGUAGAUAUUAGGAGGAACACCAGUGGCGAAGGCGGUCUGCUGGACAGCAACUGACGCUGAGGCGCGAAAGCGUGGGGAGCAAACAGGAUUAGAUACCCCAGUAGUC